Molecule: ribosomal RNA, 500 nt
Filed under: uncultured bacterium
Lineage: Bacteria
Description: bacterial SSU rRNA
Rfam family: Bacterial small subunit ribosomal RNA
Source: RNAcentral
AUCCUGGCUCAGGAUGAACGCUAGCGACAGGCCUAAACACAUGCAAGUCGAGGGGCAGCACAUGAGUAGCAAUACGAUGGUGGCGACCGGCGCACGGGUGAGUAACACGUAUGCAACCUGCCUGUAAGAGGGGAUAACCCGGAGAAAUUCGGACUAAUACCGCAUAAUACCACGAGACUGCAUUGGUUUUGUGGUUAAACAUUUAUGGCUUACAGAUGGGCAUGCGUAUGAUUAGAUAGUUGGUAGGGUAACGGCCUACCAAGUCUACGAUCAUUAGGGGUUCUGAGAGGAAGGUCCCCCACACUGGUACUGAGACACGGACCAGACUCCUACGGGAGGCAGCAGUGAGGAAUAUUGGUCAAUGGGCGAGAGCCUGAACCAGCCAAGUCGCGUGAAGGAAGAAGGUUCUAUGGAUUGUAAACUUCUUUUGCAGGGGAAUAAAGGACGGUACGUGUACUGUUUUGUAUGUACCUUGCGAAUAAGGAUCGGCUAACUCCGUG